AAAGGAAUUGACGGGGGCCCGCACAAGCGGCGGAGCAUGCGGAUUAAUUCGAUGCAACGCGAAGAACCUUACCAAGGCUUGACAUGCACCGGACGGCCGCAGAAAUGUGGCUUUCUUCGGACUGGUGCACAGGUGGUGCAUGGUUGUCGUCAGCUCGUGUCGUGAGAUGUUGGGUUAAGUCCCGCAACGAGCGCAACCCUCGUUCCAUGUUGCCAGCGCGUAAUGGCGGGGACUCAUGGGAGACUGCCGGGGUCAACUCGGAGGAAGGUGGGGACGACGUCAAAUCAUCAUGCCCCUUAUGUCUUGGGCUUCACGCAUGCUACAAUGGCCGGUACAAUGGGUUGCGAAACUGUGAGGUGGAGCGAAUCCCAAAAAGCCGGUCUCAGUUCGGAUUGGGGUCUGCAACUCGACCCCAUGAAGUCGGAGUCGCUAGUAAUCGCAGAUCAGCAACGCUGCGGUGAAUACGUUCCCGGGCCUUGCACACACCGCCCGU
Molecule: ribosomal RNA, 493 nt
Filed under: uncultured bacterium
Lineage: Bacteria
Description: bacterial SSU rRNA
Rfam family: Bacterial small subunit ribosomal RNA
Source: RNAcentral